UGUGCAGGACAUGUCUAAAUAGGCAUACAACUUGUCAUUGUGUUAUUGCCACUUGAACUUGUUCCCUGCUAGACCAAUUCGAGAAAAAUGGGCAGUUGAGUUAGGCCAGAUAUUGUGGUUUACUCAACAAUCAUUUUUCUCAUAGUU
Molecule: small nucleolar RNA, 147 nt
Filed under: Setaria italica (foxtail millet)
Lineage: Eukaryota; Viridiplantae; Streptophyta; Magnoliopsida; Poales; Poaceae
Also listed under: 1 other name
Description: snoRNA snoR135
Rfam family: small nucleolar RNA snoR135
Source: Rfam by way of RNAcentral